Molecule: ribosomal RNA, 1492 nt
Filed under: metagenome
Description: bacterial SSU rRNA
Rfam family: Bacterial small subunit ribosomal RNA
Source: RNAcentral
CUGGCGGCGCGGAUUAGGCAUGCAAGUCGAACGAGAAAGAUUCCUUCGGGGAUCGAGUAAAGCGGCGAAAGGGUGAGUAGUACCUAGGUAACCUACCCUGAAGCUCGGGAUAACGGUCGGAAACGAUCGCUAAUACCGGAUGUGGCAAGAGAGUCGCAUGAUUUUUUUGCUAAAGGUAGCCUCUGUUUCAAGCUUCCGCUUCAGGAGGGACCUCGGCCCUAUCAGCUUGUUGGUGAGGUAACGGCUCACCAAGGCUCGGACGGGUAGCCGGUCUGAGAGGAUGGUCGGCCACACUGGGACUGAGACACUGCCCAGACUCCUACGGGAGGCUGCAGUCGAGGAUCUUCCGUAAUGGACGAAAGUCUGACGGAGCGACGCCGCGUGUGGGAGGAAGGCCCUCGGGUUGUAAACCACUGUCACCUGUUAUGAAUCGUAGAGUUUGAACAGGGCUCUGCGUGACAAAUGCAGGAGAGGAAGCCACGGCUAACUUCGUGCCAGCAGCCGCGGUAAUACGAAGGUGGCGAGCGUUGUUCGGAAUCACUGGGCAUAAAGCGCACGUAGGCGGCUUUGUAAGUCGGAUGUGAAAGCCCUCAGCUUAACUGAGGAAUUGCGUUCGAUACUGCGGAGCUUGAGUACUGGAGGGGAGAACGGAAUUCCCGGUGGAGCGGUCAAAUGCGUAGAGAUCGGGAGGAACGCCGGCGGCGAGAGCGGUUCUCUGGACAGUUACUGACGCUGAGGUGCGAAAGCUAGGGGAGCAAACGGGAUUAGAUACCCCGGUAGUCCUAGCCGUAAACGAUGGGCGCUAGGUAGUGGAGGUUCCUAUUCCGCCACUGCUGGAGCUAAUGUAUUAAGCGCCCCGCCUGGGGAGUACGGCCGCAAGGCUAAAACUCAAAGGAAUUGACGGGGGCUCACACAAGCGGUGGAGCAUGUUGCUUAAUUCGAAUCAACGCGAAGAACCUUACCCGGGUUUGAAAUGCUGGUGGUAGUGUAGGGAAACCGUACACGACUCCCUCACGGGAGAGCCAGCACAGGUGUUGCAUGGCUGUCGUCAGCUCGUGUCGUGAGAUGUUGGGUUAAGUCCCGUAACGAGCGCAACCCUUGUCGCUAGUUGCUACAGGUCAAGCUGAGCACUCUAACGAGACUGCCGGUGUUAAACCGGAGAAAGGUGGGGACGACGUCAAGUCAUCAUGGCCCCUAUGCCCGGGGCUGCAAACGUGCUACAAUGGCAAGUACAGUGGGUAGCGAAGUCGCGAGGCGGAGCCAAUCCCAAAAAGCUUGUCCCAGUCCGGAUUGGAGGCUGCAAUUCGCCUCCAUGAAGUUGGAAUCGCUAGUAAUCGGGGAUCAGCAUGCCCCGGUGAAUACGUUCCUGAGCCUUGUACACACCGCCCGUCAAGCCAUGGGAGCCGGGAGUGCCCGAAGUCGUGAUCCUAACCGUCAAGGAAGGUAACGCCGAAGGCAAGCUCGGUGACUGGGACUAAGUCGAAACAAGGUA